GGCCUUUAGUUUAUGAUUUAAGGUCUGACCUGCCCAAUGAUUGUUUAAAUGGCCGCAGUAUUUUGACUGUGCAAAGGUAGCAUAAUCAUUAGUUUUUUAAUUGAAAGCUGGAAUGAAUGGUUUGAUGAAAAAAUAACUGUCUCAAUAAAAUUGAUUUAGAAUUUUAUUUUUUAGUAAAAAAGCUUAAAUUUUUUAUGAAGACGAGAAGACCCUAUAGAGUUUAAUAUUAAUAUUAAUAAUUUUUUUAGGUUGUUUUUACUUAAUUAUUAGUAUUAUUAUUUUGUUGGGGUGAUAUAAAAAUUUAAUUAACUUUUUAUUUUUAAAAACAUUAAUUUAUGGAUAUUUGAUCCUUGUUUUUUGGAUUAUAAGAUUAAAUUACCUUAGGGAUAACAGCGUAAUUUUUUUUGAGAGUUCUUAUCGAUAAAGAAGUUUGCGA
Molecule: ribosomal RNA, 436 nt
Filed under: Tentyria rotundata
Lineage: Eukaryota; Metazoa; Arthropoda; Insecta; Coleoptera; Tenebrionidae
Description: partial 16S ribosomal RNA
Source: RNAcentral